This is a long non-coding RNA of Gossypium arboreum, 241 nucleotides long. RefSeq lists it as uncharacterized. Lineage: Eukaryota; Viridiplantae; Streptophyta; Magnoliopsida; Malvales; Malvaceae. The record is from RefSeq and is a predicted model, not a curated record. The transcript is spliced from 2 exons.
AUAGGAGAUCUCGUCAAGGAAUAUCGCAAAUCAGGUGAGCCUUGAUGUGGGGACUUGGGCCGGAGGGGAUUCAGAGUGGCCACGGUGAUCGCUUUUGGACCUUUAAAUAAGCGUUGGUUUUCAUUUAAUUUCCUUUAAUUAUUAUUUAUUUUUGGGUUGUAAUAAGGCCAUUUUUAACUUUUCUUUUAUUUCUUCUCGAGAUUAUUUUAUUCUUAAUAACUUUAAAAUUGGUUGAUAAUUA